UACGUAGGGCGCAAGCGUUAUCCGGAAUUACUGGGCGUAAAGGGCGCGUAGGCGGGAUGGCAAGUCGGUCGUGAAAUCCCUCGGCUCAACCGAGGAACGUCGAUCGAUACUGCUGUUCUUGAGGAUUGCAGAGGAGACUGGAAUUCCCGGUGUAGCGGUGAAAUGUGUAGAGAUCGGGAGGAACACCGGUGGCGAAGGCGGGUCUCUGGGCAAUUCCUGACGCUGAGGCGCGAAAGCGUGGGGAGCAAACGGG
This 253-nucleotide ribosomal RNA is filed under the name uncultured bacterium. RNAcentral's name for it is "partial 16S ribosomal RNA". It matches the Rfam family "Bacterial small subunit ribosomal RNA", at positions 524 to 776 of the family's 1533-position model. The record is from RNAcentral.